CGGACGGGGGAGUAAUGUCUGGGAAACUGCCUGAUGGAAGGGGAUAACUACUGGAAACGGUAGCUAAUACCGCAUAACGUCGCAAGACCAAAGAGGGGGACCUUCGGGCCUCUUGCCAUCGGAUGUGCCCAGAUGGGAUUAGCUAGUAGGUGGGGUAACGGCUCACCUAGGCGACGAUCCCUAGCUGGUCUGAGAGGAUGACCAGCCACACUGGAACUGAGACACGGUCCAG
RNAcentral lists this ribosomal RNA (232 nucleotides) under uncultured bacterium. RNAcentral describes it as "partial 16S ribosomal RNA". It matches the Rfam family "Bacterial small subunit ribosomal RNA", at positions 99 to 334 of the family's 1533-position model. The record is from RNAcentral.